RNAcentral lists this ribosomal RNA (3112 nucleotides) under Salmonella enterica subsp. enterica serovar Typhimurium str. USDA-ARS-USMARC-1899. RNAcentral's name for it is "bacterial LSU rRNA". It matches the Rfam family "Bacterial large subunit ribosomal RNA". Lineage: Bacteria; Pseudomonadati; Pseudomonadota; Gammaproteobacteria; Enterobacterales; Enterobacteriaceae. The record is from RNAcentral.
GGGUUGUGAGGUUAAGCGACUAAGCGUACACGGUGGAUGCCCUGGCAGUCAGAGGCGAUGAAGGGCGUGCUAAUCUGCGAUAAGCGCCGGUAAGGUGAUAUGAACCGUUAUAACCGGCGAUACCCGAAUGGGGAAACCCAGUGUGAUUCGUCACACUAUCAUUAACUGAAUCCAUAGGUUAAUGAGGCGAACCGGGGGAACUGAAACAUCUAAGUACCCCGAGGAAAAGAAAUCAACCGAGAUUCCCCCAGUAGCGGCGAGCGAACGGGGAGGAGCCCAGAGCCUGAAUCAGCAUGUGUGUUAGUGGAAGCGUCUGGAAAGGCGCGCGAUACAGGGUGACAGCCCCGUACACAAAAGCGCAUGUGCUGUGAGCUCGAUGAGUAGGGCGGGACACGUGGUAUCCUGUCUGAAUAUGGGGGGACCAUCCUCCAAGGCUAAAUACUCCUGACUGACCGAUAGUGAACCAGUACCGUGAGGGAAAGGCGAAAAGAACCCCGGCGAGGGGAGUGAAAAAGAACCUGAAACCGUGUACGUACAAGCAGUGGGAGCCCCACCACUAAGCCAGUGGUGAACUCCACAUCCGCAUCCUUUGCUGAGGAUACGGUUAACGGAGCGAAAGCGACGUUCAACCGCAAAACAAGCAGAGGGGGCUUAGUGGUGGGGUGACUGCGUACCUUUUGUAUAAUGGGUCAGCGACUUAUAUUCUGUAGCAAGGUUAACCGAAUAGGGGAGCCGGAGGGAAACCGAGUCUUAAUUGGGCGUUAAGUUGCAGGGUAUAGACCCGAAACCCGGUGAUCUAGCCAUGGGCAGGUUGAAGGUUGGGUAACACUAACUGGAGGACCGAACCGACUAAUGUUGAAAAAUUAGCGGAUGACCUGUGGCUGGGGGUGAAAGGCCAAUCAAACCGGGAGAUAGCUGGUUCUCCCCGAAAGCUAUUUAGGUAGCGCCUCGUGAAUUCAUCUCCGGGGGUAGAGCACUGUUUCGGCUAGGGGGCCAUCCCGGCUUACCAACCCGAUGCAAACUGCGAAUACCGGAGAAUGUUAUCACGGGAGACACACGGCGGGUGCUAACGUCCGUCGUGAAGAGGGAAACAACCCAGACCGCCAGCUAAGGUCCCAAAGUCAUGGUUAAGUGGGAAACGAUGUGGGAAGGCCCAGACAGCCAGGAUGUUGGCUUAGAAGCAGCCAUCAUUUAAAGAAAGCGUAAUAGCUCACUGGUCGAGUCGGCCUGCGCGGAAGAUGUAACGGGGCUAAACCAUGCACCGAAGCUGCGGCAGCGAACGUAUCACCCAAGACAACUUUACGGAGUUGACGAUUGACGGAGCGAAGCGACGUCAAAGCGUUCAUUAAAGUCGAGUUGGCUUAGGGAUACGUUCGUUGGGUAGGGGAGCGUUCUGUAAGCCUGUGAAGGUGUGUCGUGAGGCAUGCUGGAGGUAUCAGAAGUGCGAAUGCUGACAUAAGUAACGAUAAAGCGGGUGAAAAGCCCGCUCGCCGGAAGACCAAGGGUUCCUGUCCAACGUUAAUCGGGGCAGGGUGAGUCGACCCCUAAGGCGAGGCCGAAAGGCGUAGUCGAUGGGAAACGGGUUAAUAUUCCUGUACUUGGUGUUACUGCGAAGGGGGGACGGAGAAGGCUAUGUUGGCCGGGCGACGGUUGUCCCGGUUUAAGCGUGUAGGUGUGUGUUCCAGGUAAAUCCGGUUCACUUUAACACUGAGGCGUGACGACGAGGCACUACGGUGCUGAAGCAACAAAUGCCCUGCUUCCAGGAAAAGCCUCUAAGCAUCAGGUAACAUCAAAUCGUACCCCAAACCGACACAGGUGGUCAGGUAGAGAAUACCAAGGCGCUUGAGAGAACUCGGGUGAAGGAACUAGGCAAAAUGGUGCCGUAACUUCGGGAGAAGGCACGCUGACACGUAGGUGAAGUGAUUUACUCAUGGAGCUGAAGUCAGUCGAAGAUACCAGCUGGCUGCAACUGUUUAUUAAAAACACAGCACUGUGCAAACACGAAAGUGGACGUAUACGGUGUGACGCCUGCCCGGUGCCGGAAGGUUAAUUGAUGGGGUCAGCGCAAGCGAAGCUCCUGAUCGAAGCCCCGGUAAACGGCGGCCGUAACUAUAACGGUCCUAAGGUAGCGAAAUUCCUUGUCGGGUAAGUUCCGACCUGCACGAAUGGCGUAAUGAUGGCCAGGCUGUCUCCACCCGAGACUCAGUGAAAUUGAACUCGCUGUGAAGAUGCAGUGUACCCGCGGCAAGACGGAAAGACCCCGUGAACCUUUACUAUAGCUUGACACUGAACAUUGAGCCUUGAUGUGUAGGAUAGGUGGGAGGCUUUGAAGUGUGGACGCCAGUCUGCAUGGAGCCGACCUUGAAAUACCACCCUUUAAUGUUUGAUGUUCUAACGUGGACCCGUUACCCGGGUUGCGGACAGUGUCUGGUGGGUAGUUUGACUGGGGCGGUCUCCUCCUAAAGAGUAACGGAGGAGCACGAAGGUUGGCUAAUCCUGGUCGGACAUCAGGAGGUUAGUGCAAUGGCAUAAGCCAGCUUGACUGCGAGCGUGACGGCGCGAGCAGGUGCGAAAGCAGGUCAUAGUGAUCCGGUGGUUCUGAAUGGAAGGGCCAUCGCUCAACGGAUAAAAGGUACUCCGGGGAUAACAGGCUGAUACCGCCCAAGAGUUCAUAUCGACGGCGGUGUUUGGCACCUCGAUGUCGGCUCAUCACAUCCUGGGGCUGAAGUAGGUCCCAAGGGUAUGGCUGUUCGCCAUUUAAAGUGGUACGCGAGCUGGGUUUAGAACGUCGUGAGACAGUUCGGUCCCUAUCUGCCGUGGGCGCUGGAGAACUGAGGGGGGCUGCUCCUAGUACGAGAGGACCGGAGUGGACGCAUCACUGGUGUUCGGGUUGUCAUGCCAAUGGCACUGCCCGGUAGCUAAAUGCGGAAGAGAUAAGUGCUGAAAGCAUCUAAGCACGAAACUUGCCCCGAGAUAAGUUCUCCCUGAGACUUAGAGUCUCCUGAAGGAACGUUGAAGACGACGACGUUGAUAGGCCGGGUGUGUAAGCGCAGCGAUGCGUUGAGCUAACCGGUACUAAUGAACCGUGAGGCUUAACCUUACAACGCCGAAG